This is a long non-coding RNA of Oncorhynchus keta (chum salmon), 295 nucleotides long. RefSeq lists it as uncharacterized. The transcript is spliced from 3 exons. The record is from RefSeq and is a predicted model, not a curated record. Lineage: Eukaryota; Metazoa; Chordata; Actinopteri; Salmoniformes; Salmonidae.
GUUGGUCUAAUACAAACCAGCCAGGUUGUAGUUGGUCUAGUCUAGUACAAACCAGCCAGGUUGUAGUUGGUCUAGUCUAGUACAAACCAGCCAGGUUGUAGUUGGUCUAGUCUAGUACAAACCAGCCAGGUUGUAGUUGGUCUAGUCUAGUACAAACCAGCCAGGUUGUAGUUGGUCUAGUCUAGUACAAACCAGCCAGGUUGUAGUUGGUCUAGUCUAGUACAAACCAGCCAGGUUGUAGUUGGUCUAGUCUAGUACAAACCAGCCAGGUUGUAGUUGGUCUAAUACAAACCAG